AUGGAUCUGUCGGCGAAGAUAAAGCGGACGGAACUCCCGGAAGACCUCGUCCUCGAGGUUCUCACACGUGUCGCUAAUGCAGCUGCCCUCGUCCGCUGUGCCACCGCGUGCAAGCGGUGGCGUGCCCUCGCCGCUAACCCCUCCUUCGUCCGCCGGCGUCACCAGGUGCUGAUGGGGCGCGCCCUCGUGGCUGACACCUCCUUGGUCCGCCGGCGUCACCAGGUGCUGAUGGCCGUCGUCAGCGUAUACGACGGCGAGUGGGCACUAUGCAAGGUGCUUCGACACUCAGACGUCGAUCCGAACCAGAACCGGCUGCUGCUCACCACUUGGAUGGGGCAGGGCGGCCCCAUCCUGAUGUUGUUCCCGGAGCUGGAGCAGGUUGGCGACAACGGCAUGCAGAACGAGGUGGUGGAGGCCGUCCUCAUUGAUGCCGAGUGGGGUGUUGAGAAGUUGGCCACGGUCCGGUACAUGAACGCCAACAUGACCUACCGGAUCAUUGGUCGUGGGUGGAGGGAAUUUGUUAGGGACUGCCGUAUCUCCCACGGAGAUCGGGUCGACAUCUACGUUGGCAGACGAGACACCGGCGAGCGCUGCCUGCUCUUCUUCAAUAGCAAGGGCGCCCAAGGUUGA
RNAcentral lists this ribosomal RNA (630 nucleotides) under Triticum aestivum (bread wheat). RNAcentral's name for it is "partial small subunit ribosomal RNA". The record is from RNAcentral. Lineage: Eukaryota; Viridiplantae; Streptophyta; Magnoliopsida; Poales; Poaceae.